This 452-nucleotide ribosomal RNA is filed under the name uncultured bacterium. Its description in RNAcentral is "bacterial SSU rRNA". It matches the Rfam family "Bacterial small subunit ribosomal RNA", at positions 29 to 526 of the family's 1533-position model. The record is from RNAcentral.
AACGAACGCUGGCGGCAGGCUUAACACAUGCAAGUCGAGCGCCGUAGCAAUACGGAGCGGCAGACGGGUGAGUAACGCGUGGGAACGUACCUUUCGGUUCGGAAUAACUCAGGGAAACUUGAGCUAAUACCGGAUAAGCCCUAACGGGGAAAGAUUUAUCGCCGAAAGAUCGGCCCGCGCCUGAUUAGCUAGUUGGUGAGGUAAUGGCUCACCAAGGCGACGAUCAGUAGCUGGUCUGAGAGGAUGAUCAGCCACAUUGGGACUGAGACACGGCCCAAACUCCUACGGGAGGCAGCAGUGGGGAAUAUUGGACAAUGGGCGCAAGCCUGAUCCAGCCAUGCCGCGUGAGUGAUGAAGGCCUUAGGGUUGUAAAGCUCUUUUACCUGGGAAGAUAAUGACGGUACCAGGAGAAUAAGCCCCGGCUAACUUCGUGCCAGCAGCCGCCGUAACAC